CAAGUCGAGCGAGAAAGUUUCUUCGGAAAUGAGUAAAGCGGCGAACGGGUGAGUAAUACACAAGAAUCUAUCCCUUAGUGUGGAAUACCUUCGAGAAAUCGAAGUUAAUACCGCAUGAGUCUGAAAAGAGAAAGGCGGCUUUAUGCUGUCGCUAAAGGAGGAGCUUGUGAACUAUCAGCUAGUUGGUGGGGUAAAGGCCUACCAAGGCUAUGACGGUUAACCGGCCUGAGAGGGUGUACGGUCACAUUGGAACUGAGAUACGGUCCAGACUCCUACGGGAGGCAGCAGUGGGGAAUAUUGCGCAAUGGGCGAAAGCCUGACGCAGCGACGCCGCGUGGAGGAUGAAGGUCUUCGGAUUGUAAACUCCUGUCAGGUGGGAAGAAAGGCUUUUUUUUAAUAGAAAGAAGUUAUGACGGUACCAUCAGAGGAAGCACUGGCUAAUCUCGUGCCAGCAGCCGCGGUAAUACGAGAGGUGCAAGCGUUAUUCGGAAUUAUUGGGCGUAAAGGGCGCGUAGGCGGUUUGUUAAGUUUGUUGUUAAAGCCUCUGGCUUAACCAGAGAUCAGCAAUAAAAACUGGCAAACUAGAGUGUGAGAGAGAGAAGUGGAAUUCCCGGAGUAGCGGUAAAAUGCGUAGAUCUCGGGAGGAACACCAAUGGCGAAGGCUGCUUCUUGGUUCACAACUGACGCUGAGGCGCGAAAGCGUGGGGAGCAAACAGGAUUAGAUACCCUGGUAGUCCACGCUGUAACGAUAAUCACUAGAUGUUAGUUCUGAUUUUUCGGAUUAGUGUCGUAGCUAACGCGUUAAGUGAUUCGCCUGGGGAUUACGGUCGCAAGACUAAAACUCAAAGGAAUUGACGGGGGUC
RNAcentral lists this ribosomal RNA (863 nucleotides) under uncultured Pseudomonadota bacterium. Its description in RNAcentral is "bacterial SSU rRNA". It matches the Rfam family "Bacterial small subunit ribosomal RNA", at positions 58 to 921 of the family's 1533-position model. The record is from RNAcentral. Lineage: Bacteria; Pseudomonadati; Pseudomonadota.